GCCCUUGUAGCACAAUGGAUAGUGCACCGGACUUCUAAGCCGUGGGAUGGUGGUUCGACUCCACCCGGGGGCACCA
RNAcentral lists this transfer RNA (76 nucleotides) under Patescibacteria group bacterium. Its description in RNAcentral is "tRNA-Arg". It matches the Rfam family "tRNA". Rfam says of the family: Transfer RNA (tRNA) molecules are approximately 80 nucleotides in length. The record is from RNAcentral.